UACAGAGGGGGCAAGCGUUUAUUCGGAAUUAUUGGGCGUAAAGGGCGCGUAGGCGGCUUGGCAAGUGGAUGGUGAAAUCCCUCGGCUUAACCGAGGAACUGCCGUCCAAACUGCUUCGCUUGAGACCGGGAGAGGUGAGUGGAAUUCCCAGUGUAGCGGUGAAAUGCGUAGAUAUUGGGAGGAACACCAGUGGCGAAGGCGGCUCACUGGACCGGUACUGACGCUGAUGCGCGAAAGCGUGGGGAGCAAACGGG
Molecule: ribosomal RNA, 254 nt
Filed under: uncultured bacterium
Lineage: Bacteria
Description: partial 16S ribosomal RNA
Rfam family: Bacterial small subunit ribosomal RNA
Source: RNAcentral